RNAcentral lists this ribosomal RNA (230 nucleotides) under uncultured bacterium. Its description in RNAcentral is "partial 16S ribosomal RNA". It matches the Rfam family "Bacterial small subunit ribosomal RNA", at positions 562 to 791 of the family's 1533-position model. The record is from RNAcentral.
AAAGGGUGCGUAGGCGGCCUGUUAAGUCAGGGGUGAAAGACGGUAGCUCAACUAUCGCAGUGCCCUUGAUGCUGAUGGGCUUGAAUGGACUAGAGGUAGGCGGAAUGAGACAAGUAGCGGUGAAAUGCAUAGAUAUGUCUCAGAACACCGAUUGCGAAGGCAGCUUACUAUGGUCUUAUUGACGCUGAGGCACGAAAGCGUGGGGAUCAAACAGGAUUAGAUACCCGAGU